GCUGGGCACGGUGGUGCACGCCUGUAAUCCCAGUGGCUCUGGAGGCUGAGGCAGGAGGAUCAUGAGUUCAAAGCCAGCCUCAGCAAAAGCGAGGAGCUAAUCAACUCAGUGAGACUCUGCCUCUA
RNAcentral lists this small RNA (125 nucleotides) under Marmota monax (woodchuck). The record is from RNAcentral. Lineage: Eukaryota; Metazoa; Chordata; Mammalia; Rodentia; Sciuridae.